GAUGAACGCUGGCGGCGUGCCUAAUACAUGCAAGUCGAGCGAACGGACGAGAAGCUUGCUUUUCUGAUGUUAGCGGCGGACGGGUGAGUAACACGUGGAUAACCUACCUAUAAGACUGGGAUAACUUCGGGAAACCGGAGCUAAUACCGGAUAAUAUUUUGAACCGCAUGGUUCAAAAGUGAAAGACGGUCUUGCUGUCACUUAUAGAUGGAUCCGCGCUGCAUUAGCUAGUUGGUAAGGUAACGGCUUACCAAGGCAACGAUGCAUAGCCGACCUGAGAGGGUGGUCGGCCACACUGGAACUGAGACACGGUCCAGACUCCUACGGGAGGCAGCAGUAGGGAAUCUUCCGCGAAGGGCGAAAGCCUGACGGAGCAACGCCGCGUGAGUGAUGAAGGUCUUCGGAUCGUAAAACUCUGUUAUUAGGGAAGAACAUAUGUGUAAGUAACUGUGCACAUCUUGACGGUACCUAAUCAGAAAGCCACGGCUAACUACGUG
Molecule: ribosomal RNA, 497 nt
Filed under: uncultured bacterium
Lineage: Bacteria
Description: partial 16S ribosomal RNA
Rfam family: Bacterial small subunit ribosomal RNA
Source: RNAcentral